RNAcentral lists this ribosomal RNA (253 nucleotides) under uncultured bacterium. RNAcentral's name for it is "partial 16S ribosomal RNA". It matches the Rfam family "Bacterial small subunit ribosomal RNA", at positions 524 to 776 of the family's 1533-position model. The record is from RNAcentral.
UACGUAGGGUGCAAGCGUUAAUCGGAAUUACUGGGCGUAAAGCGUGCGCAGGCGGUGAUGUAAGACAGGUGUGAAAUCCCCGGGCUUAACCUGGGAACUGCAUUUGUGACUGCAUCGCUGGAGUGCGGCAGAGGGGGAUGGAAUUCCGCGUGUAGCAGUGAAAUGCGUAGAUAUGCGGAGGAACACCGAUGGCGAAGGCAAUCCCCUGGGCCUGCACUGACGCUCAUGCACGAAAGCGUGGGGAGCGAACAGG